AGACGAAUUCGCGGCUCUUCGGCUUCCGAGGCUUCCGAGUUGUCGGAGGAAGGGGGCGGCGAGCAAGAAGAACCCGCCGCACCCGGUCCUCAGCGACUCUUCUGACCUCCGCGCGACGUACCCGCCGCCGCUGUUGGCUGGAGCAUUUGACAUUGUGCAGCAAAGAAAUGGUUAUGGAGAAGCCCAGUCCGCUGCUUGUAGGGCGGGAGUUUGUGAGGCAAUAUUAUACUUUGCUGAAUAAAGCUCCGGAAUAUUUACACAGGUAAAUUUUAAACAAAUAAUUUGGUAUUUUUAUCUACUUUUUUUCUUGGGUAUGACUAUAUAUAUUUUGCAUUUCCUGUCUCCUCAUUAUCUGACAAUAUCUUUGUAAACAUGUCUAAACUGUAUUUAAUAUUUUAUUCAUUUGAUGGCAAAAAGUGUUUUUAACUGCAACUCACAGUAACAACAUUUUAUGUCAUAUUCUGGUACAUGACACAUUCAUAUCUAUAUAUGCACACGCUUAUUCUUAUAUGUACUUUAGUAUUUUAUUUUUAGAGUCAUGGUCUCCUCUGUCACUCAGGCUGGAGUGCAGUGAUAUGCUCAUAGCCCACUGUGGCCUCAAACUGUAGGCCUCAAGCGAUCUCCCAGCUUGCAGCUUGUCUUCCCAAAGUACUGGGAUUACAGGCAUGAGACACC
Molecule: small RNA, 675 nt
Filed under: Pongo abelii (Sumatran orangutan)
Lineage: Eukaryota; Metazoa; Chordata; Mammalia; Primates; Hominidae
Description: retained intron
Source: RNAcentral